RNAcentral lists this ribosomal RNA (253 nucleotides) under uncultured bacterium. Its description in RNAcentral is "partial 16S ribosomal RNA". It matches the Rfam family "Bacterial small subunit ribosomal RNA", at positions 524 to 776 of the family's 1533-position model. The record is from RNAcentral.
AACGUAGGUGGCAAGCGUUAUCCGGAUUUACUGGGCGUAAAGGGUGUGCAGGCGGGGUUGCAAGUGGUGGAUGAAAUCUCCCGGCUUAACCGGGAGGGGUUAUGCCAGACUGCAAUUCUAGAGGACGAGAGAGGGGGGUGGAAUUCCGGGUGUAGUGGUGAAAUGCGUAGAGAUCCGGAGGAACCCCAGAGGCGAAGGCGGCCCCCUGGCUCGUACCUGACGCUCAGCCACGAAAGCAUGGGGAGCGAACGGG